This is a small nuclear RNA of Dipodomys ordii (Ord's kangaroo rat), 102 nucleotides long. Lineage: Eukaryota; Metazoa; Chordata; Mammalia; Rodentia; Heteromyidae. The record is from Ensembl.
UAAUGGUCGGGUUCAUAUACUAAAAUUGGAAGGAUACAGCGAAGGUUAGCAUGGCCCCUGUGCAAGUAUGACACGCAAAUUCAUGAAGCGUUUCAUAUUUUU